CCCAAGAGCCAGGAGAUCCCACCUGGCCAUGGCAGCAACUGAGAGCAUAUGGCUACCUUGGCCUCUUAUGUUUGUUCUUUCCUGUUCAUAGGCAAACAAGAUGGAAGUAUGCAGGCAAUCUUGUGAGUUCAGGAGAAGCAGAGGUUUCACUAGCAGAGAGAAAUGAAUUGUAGUAAUAGCAAUGACCACCAGUAAUAGUGUUUUUGGCAGCUACUGCAUUGGGAAUAGGAACACACCAAGGACAAACUGACAAGAAAUAAGUCAUCAGAAAAAAGCAAAUCUCGGGGAAUAUGACUCCUCAAGGUAGAGAGAAAUACAGUACUGACUGAAGACUUUGUAUAAAAAUAGCAGUCAGUCCAUUAAGUGAUGAACCAGUCUAGAAAUGCAGGUCUUCAACUUCUGGAGCUAAGAAUUCCAAUUCCAGAGUUUGGAAUCCUCCACCCAUAGAUUGGUCCACCACCUGAAUGAGCUCACAGAAGAACUUGGAUGGGCCCAGAUAUGUGUCUGAUUCUUUUAGCCAAUCAUAAGCUGUUUCCUGUAUCUUGGUCAUAUGUCUCUAUCUGAUAAUGACCAUAGAUAAUCAAAUGAUUAUAAUCCUCUCUAAGAGAUUAAGGAUUUAUUCACAUUUUCUGGUAGGGUAUAAGAAAAUUUCUCAAGACAAGUAUUUUCUAACACCUAGACUAAACUGUUGAUUGACGGAUGCAAUUUGAGUUAUCUGGGUCUUCUGAUUACAUUAAUUGGGAUUUUCCUACAUUGAGAAUGGAAAGUCCCUUUCUUUCCCUUAGCUUACUGGAGAGAGAAGCUGGGUUUUUCCAAAAAGCUUCACUAGCACUUAAGAUCACUGAAAAAGCAAAAUGAGAACAUCUAUGUCAAAAGAAACUGGAGGGAAAUGGAUCUAUGCAGCAUCCAAAGAGGCAAGGGGAGAAAAGGAGGAAGAACUGAAAUGACUGUAAAUUAAUUGGGUGCAUCAUUCACCCUAAGCAUGCCACCUUGGCCUGCCACCAUGCCACCCCAGAAGCUAACCCCAGGCAUCUUCUUCCUGGUGUAGCCAAAACCAACUUGAAGUUCCUUUUCCAUUUCCAAGAUGGCACUCCUUCAAGACCCUGUCAAGCCCUUAGAUUCAAACUCAGUCUAUGGCUUACAUUCUUCACAAGGGAAGUAUUUAACUCUUCUAAUUUGUAACCCCAUAUAUGUUACAUAUAUCCAUAGCAGCAUACAAUUCUCACCAAAAGAAAAAAGGAAAGUAUAAUAUCUUCACAGACUUUUCUCUGUUCCAUUAUAUAGACCCUGUUCUUUGUA
Long non-coding RNA from Monodelphis domestica (gray short-tailed opossum), 1299 nucleotides. RefSeq lists it as uncharacterized. NCBI's taxonomy places the organism in Eukaryota, Metazoa, Chordata, Mammalia, Didelphimorphia, Didelphidae. The record is from RefSeq and is a predicted model, not a curated record.